UUCAUAACCUGACGCGUCCACCCUACUGC
This 29-nucleotide non-coding RNA is filed under the name Homo sapiens (human). The record is from RNAcentral. Lineage: Eukaryota; Metazoa; Chordata; Mammalia; Primates; Hominidae.